This 468-nucleotide ribosomal RNA is filed under the name uncultured bacterium. Its description in RNAcentral is "partial 16S ribosomal RNA". It matches the Rfam family "Bacterial small subunit ribosomal RNA", at positions 38 to 507 of the family's 1533-position model. The record is from RNAcentral.
GGGGGGGGGGGGGGGCGGGGGGGGCGCGUGCAGGGCGAGCGGAAAGGGCCGGCGGGGGGGGGGUGCUCGGGGGGCGAACGGGGGAGUAACACGUGAGUAACCUGCCCUUGCCUUUGGGAUAACUUCAGGAAACUGGGGCUAAUACCGGCUAGGAGCGCCUGCUGCAUGGUGGGGGUUGGAAAGCUUCGGCGGUUGGGGAUGGACUCGCGGCUUAUCAGCUUGGUGGUGGGGUAGUGGCUUACCAAGGCUUUGCCGGGUAGCCGGCCUGAGAGGGUGACCGGCCACAUUGGGACUGAGAUACGGCCCAGACUCCUACGGGAGGCAGCAGUGGGGAAUAUUGCACAAUGGGCGGAAGCCUGAUGCAGCAACGCCGCGUGCGGGAUGACGGCCUUCGGGUUGUAAACCGCUUUCGCCUGUGACGAAGCGUGAGUGACGGUAAUGGGUAAAGAAGCACCGGCUAACUACGUG